UAAUUAGAGGCUCGUUUUCGGUAUAUAGAGAGCACGUGAGGAACACUAGUCAACCAGUCAUAACCAAAUGUUAGACAAGUACUUAUGUAUAUGUCAUGUCUGUGCAAAAAGUAAACUUUAAGUCUAGAACAAUUGUGUUUAUUUUCUUAUAUUAAUAUCCAAAUCCUUAAAACUCGUUUUGAGUCUACUCGGCUCAUAACAAAAGGAUUAAAGUCUACAACAUGGAUCACUGUUUUAGGUGGAAAAUUGGUUUUACACAGGCAACAUUAAUUAUUGUUAUACUCUAUUUCACAUUAGUUUAGAAAAUCUCGCGCACUCAUAAAAACCACCGGAAUGAUCGGACCGCUAUAAUUAGCUGUGGCUGUCGGAAUCUAUCGUUUUUUGUCGCGGUUGAACGACCGCUGCAGCCCGUGGACGUAUUAACAGCGUGUCACGGAUUAGUUCGUUUAGGUAAGUAAGGUAUACGCGGAAUGUGGGGUGUUUUGAUAAUACAGCUCACUACGUAUCUUUGU
Molecule: non-coding RNA, 512 nt
Organism: Cinara cedri
Lineage: Eukaryota; Metazoa; Arthropoda; Insecta; Hemiptera; Aphididae
Source: the annotation of a GenBank genome assembly